RNA transcript from Lates calcarifer (barramundi perch), 15247 nucleotides. RefSeq lists it as uncharacterized. The transcript is spliced from 12 exons. NCBI's taxonomy places the organism in Eukaryota, Metazoa, Chordata, Actinopteri, Centropomidae. The record is from RefSeq and is a predicted model, not a curated record.
UAUCAAACAGGUGUUCCAAGUCACCGAGCUCAGCAACACGGUCAGUACGUGGAUCUCUUACCACUGGAAGGUUUAGGGUUACGAGUCUUACUCAGUCAAAGUUCACGAUAACAUUUUCUUUUUCAGUAAGUUGUACAAAAUGAGAGGAAGAUACAAAAGAAAGGACCCGAGAGAAAGAAGUGAUGAAACAGCAGACGCCGUUGCUGAGCUUUCCCCUCUGUCAGGUGACACCGCGGUGGGCUUGACCGAGCCUGACACACCUCUCCCCGGUUUACACCGUCAAGGAUGUGGGUUGCAGUAAAAAAGGUGCAAGAUGUUCCAUUUAUGGAAAUGAGAAGGUCUACCUUGGAGUACGUGUCAAAAUGCCAGUAAAGGAUCUGCUGAGAAACAUCCGUCUAGCUCAAGGGUGGGAACCUCAGGAUUUUCAGGAGACCUGCAGCAAAACAUUCAAAGGAGACAAGAAACGAGUCAAAACUCGCACAGGACGCCGAACUACCAAGAGAAAACACCCAACAAAAAGCCUGGAGGAGCUGGCAAUCAUUGUUGAGGUGCUGGAGGAGGAUCUUAAGACUGGAAACACAUACUGCUCCCUUUCCCAAUGUCCCCCCUCCUCUGAACCUCCACUGUCCCCUGAGCUGUCUCCAACUGGGUACAACAGUGAUGAGUCGGAUGAAAUGAUCCCCAGCCCCCAGUCCUACAUGACCUACUCACCAGGCACAGCAGAGUACUACCAGGUCCCAUCUCCUCCUGGCUUUAUGCAUGGAGGCCUUCAGCCCUCCAGCACAAACAUGGAAAGAGAUAGUGAAAGAGGGGAGGAGUGGUUUGAUCCCCAGAACCACAACUGGAACCUGAACAGCUAUGCUUUCUUCUGGACCCAGCUGCAGAAAGAGGAGAACCAACUGAGAGACAUCUCCGAUGCAGUGCUGCUGGCCACUGACGGACAAGGCAGAGCAGCUCUCCAUAAAGUGGCAUGUGUUGGAAAGAGGGCACUGGGUUACGCCAUUGCUAAAAGGAUGGCUGCACUCAACAGCCUGGACUUUAAAGACUCUGAUGGAAUGACUGCCCUCCUGCAUGCGGCGAAUCACAACCAUCACCUUAUGGUGGCAGAUCUGAUCAGUCUGGGGGCCAACGUCAAUGAGACAAACAACUUAGGAAAGUCCUGCCUCCACCUGAGUGCUGAGAAAGGCUACAUCCGGGUCCUGGAGGUUCUGAAACACACAAUGAUGGAUGGUGUGUACGUUGAUGUUGAAGCCACUGAUAACUGUGGAAUGAGUGUCCUCCAAUGUGCCUCGGUGGCUCUGAAGGCCACAGUGUGUGAGCUGGAAAGCAGUAAAUCCCCUGAUCACACCAGACUCCACACGCUCCGCAAAGGACAGAUGAUGGAGACCCUGGAGUGUCUGCUGUACAUGGGCAGCUACCUUCAUACCAUGGGAAGCCAGAGCAUGCAACCUAGAACUGCUUGACCCUCUGGCACAUCUGCCCGGCAGGGCAUUUUGGAGACCCAACAGUAAUGUUCUCAGUUGAUUCAGACUUGAAUUUGUCUUGGAGAGUGGGGUUAGUGGGGUUCUUUUAUCUCCAAGAAUCAGUUCAGGCCUGUCAUGUAAAGCAUCUGACGUUUUGUGUGUGGUAAAAAUGCCUGACUUGCAAUCAGGUAUUUAUUGUGACCUGCACAAAAACGACAGGUGCCCAUUAGCUGGUUUCUGUGAAACUUCCAUUGUUUGUUACAUUGGAGUAACAAGUUGUCCUCAGGUUAGUGUGUCUGUGGAGAUCCAGGUGUAAAAGGAGAAUAUUUUAGAAACAUGAAUGAAUAAAUAGAAACUCUUGGCUUUUUCAUGCCAGUUUCAAGGGUCCAGUCUUGUUUUAAAAGUCUGACCUCUAAAUACAGUUAGUUCCCAGCAGGGAGGGAAAGUGAUAAUUUGUUUAUGGGACUGUUUUUAGAUUAUAAUAUUCAAGCAGCAGCAGCACAGUUUGUUGCUGUAUAUAAUCCAAAAAACCUUUGAUUCCAUCGACUGGGCUGAUGAAGUUUUUUGUCAAGAACUGGUCAGUAUAUCUGUGAGUAAAGAUUAUUCUGUUGUACAACCUGGACACUAGUCCUCCCCACUGGGUCCCACCUUGACUUGUAGUCAGAGAGAUUUGCAGUCAUAGAAUUUACAUAUUGGAUCUUUUAAAUGACAUUUGUACUAGAGGACAUGACAAGUUUUAGUGAGUAAUGUAUGGUGAUGAGGAGUAAAUAUGGUUUCAUUUGACUGCCUUCACAUGACUCAACCCAUUUAAAAUCACAGUUUUUAGUCUCAUGUGCAAGGAGUUUGCUUUUGUGUACACAUUACUUCUUAGCAUACACUCAUACAGAGCACUUUAUUAUGAACACCUGGACAUCUGUUUAUUCAUGCAGUUAUCCAAUCAGCCAAUCAUGUGGCAGCAGGGCAAUGCAUAACAUCAUGCAGAUACAGAUCAGAAGCUUCAAUUCACAUCAAACAUUACCCCCGUGAAUUUCACACACAACAGUCUCUAGAGUUUACUUAAAAUGGUAAACACUCUCUACAAAUGUGGUGAGCAAAAAAGUAUUUCAGAAUGCACAACACGUCAAACAUUGAGGCAGAUGGCCACGUAACCAACCUGCCUUGAAGGUGUACGGAAUGUAGUACGUAAUGUUCUCAUUGCACACUUUUGGCCCCUUUAUACGAAUUAAUAAUUGCAUGAAUGCCAAUUUAUCAUCACCCAAUGACUAUUUCCAGCAUGAUAAUGCACCAUGUCACAAAGUAAAAGAAAUCUCAAAUUGGUUUUUAUCAAUAUAACAAUAAGCUCAGUGUACCUCACUGGCCUCCCCUGUCACCAGAUCUGAAUCCAUGUCAACAUGGAUCGGAAUCUCAAAGGAAUAUCUUCUUGUGGAAUCCAUCCCACAGAGCCUCAGUUGUUUUGAGAGCAAUAUGAGGCCCUACUCACUAUUAACAUGGUGUUCCUAAUAAAGUGCUUGGUAAAGGUAUAGUUAGGUUUGUCUACAACUAUAUAGUACAUGUGUAAAAUGUGAUGUUAUACAAUCUGUUUUUGAAAAUUUACAUGAAUUAAUAUGCUUAAAGGAAUAUUUAAGCAUUUUUGGUAUAUACAGUUGUUUGCUUUCUUAUUGGGAGUUAGACAAGAGUAUCACUUUAUUACACUUAAUUUCUUUGUGUUCAUUAGAGCGGUGUUUAAAAUGUGUUUAGCUUGGGCUGCUUAGCUAAAAGACAAGAAGCAGGGAGAAGCAAGACACUCACAAGCAAAAUCAAAGAUGCCUUUCAACAACUCUGAAGCUGUCAAAAGUACACAUUGUAUCAUCUGUAUGUGACUAGCAAGCUGUACUUUCAACCUAUAGACAAGAAAAGCUCUCUUCUUGCUUUUCCCCUGUAUACAGGUUUUGUGCUAAGCUAAGCCAAACACUAAUAUCUCCUAGACUUUGACAUAUGCUAUCGAGAUAAUGACUUCAAGAUGAUGACUUCAUUUAUGAGUGGUCAUAAUGUUUUGGCUCUCUGUUUAUGUUAUUACUUUAAGCCAUCUAUGAGCUAUUCUUGGGAACUGUGAUACUUGAUUAUGACUCACAUCAGUUAGAGCCAUAUGAUCUAUGCUGUCAGUAAUUUACUUUAAAAUGUAUUGCUAAAUCUUGUUUAGUCAUUAACACUCCUCUGGAGAAUUCAUGUUUUUUCACAGAGGAUUUGUCUGAAUUCUCAAAGAGCUCGUUUUCUAGUUGACACUGGAUAACUUCACUUUUUUUGUUUUUCCUAUUUUGAAUAAAUAUGAUGUGUUUCUGGGUUCACCUAUGCUCAGAUUAAGAUAAUGGUGAGAGGUCUAGGAAGUUAUGUAGUGAUCUAUUCUUCAUAGUUUAAUAUUGUGGUGGUGGGCAACAGUGAAAAAGAUAAGACUACAUUAAUGUAGCUACAUAUGACAACAUGAGAGAUUUAUACAGACAACACAGAGAACAGUUACUACUGAUAAAUGUGAGAAGUGAUAGAUGGUCACUUAGUGGUAGUGCAGAGCUAAUAUUACAUUGAUAGAUUUAUUGUUGUCAUAUCUGGUCUAUAGUGGACCAGCUAUAUAUAACAUACCCCUGCUGCUGUAUAACAUACAGCAGGGGUCACGUGUAUAUCAAAAACCAACAGGGCAGGUUUUUUUUUUUUUUUACUUAUUGAAGAGUACUUUUAUACGCUUGAAUGAAUGACAUAAUUUUGUUCAUUUACUCUUGCAUAUUAAUACAUGGCAUUUUGCUACUUAGAUUAUAAUAUAAGGUCAUGUUAAAUUUAUGUUCUUAUGAAAGUUUAGUUGAUCACCUAGGUGCUUGUUCUACCUUGCAGGGACAUCGUAGUUUUAUUCAGCUCUUAGAGGUUUUACAGUGGGAAGGUUACAAAACUAAUUAAAGCUGCGAGCAGCGUUGAACGGGCCCUCGCACCCGGCGCCCGUCGGGGGAGCGGCGACCGCGGGACCCCGGCAACCGCGGGGUCAACGCAGGUCGCAGGGCACACGCUGGCGUAACAGUUCACACUUCCGAGAUGUAAAAAUUUUAAAUAAAAGCUUUUACGCUAAUUAUUUUCUGUGAUAAUAUUUUUCAGAGCUCAUCAUCUGUGACAGCUCUUGGCUCUCUUGACUGUAACCUCCCUGUGGCAGCUUCUCACAGACUCAAUCAACUCCUCUUCCCCUCCCCCCUCAAACACAAACACAAACACACACACACACACACACACACACACACACACAGAUACCCCCUCCCAAAAGGAGAUAAAACUCAGUUUUAACUUGAGUUUAAAAGCUUUGAGCUUUGAGCAAAAGCAUUUUUUUAAGUUCUGUUAUUGGGUGCAUAUAUAAAUCAUUUAUGCUUAAACAAGGCUUAUAAUGAAGUUAUUUGAACAGUGAAUAUCUCAUCUGCCUAAAGUCAGGGCGAAGCCACUAACCAGCUGUAGGGAUGGGUAUCAUUAGGAUUUUAUCUUUAUCCAUACAGACCCCUAUCAGUCCAGCUCAGACUGUUACUGGUUUAAGAGAGUGAAGUUUAUAGCAAUUUGCAAAAUUUGGAGAUUAGUGACAAACUAACCAGUUAGACUAUAUACAGACAAGCUUUCAUUUUAGCUGUUAGUAACAGUUUGCCAUGAGCUUAACCAGCGUGCUGUGCUUCCUGUUAAACAUGUUAUGAGACUGUGGACAAGGCUGAAAAUAUUACUUUACUAACUACUUGCCGAACAGGCGCUUUGACAAAGAAAAGGUAAAGGCCAGCAGCUUUUACUUUUCAAUGCACUUGUCGUCAACUUGAGUGGCUUAUAUUCAGCUGGUUCACCUCGACGCCCGUGGACCUAGUGCACUUUUCCUGUCGCCGUACACUGAGUAACACGAAAAAAUCAGCUGACCCCGUGUGAAAUUUCCUAACUGAUCAAAACCAAACUGUAAAGACAGCAUCAAUCCACGCUCAGCUUUGGUCAAGGGGAGACAUAUGGGAGAAGAUGAGUAGAGAGAUGGAAAGAAACAGAAAGGGUGAUGGAGAAAGAUUACAUGAAUUCAAAAUAACCUACAAUUCCUUAAAAUUAAUUUGAAGCCAGUUUAAUUUUUUGAGCCAGCUUUGACAUCUGCAGAUAUGAGUUUCUGAAGAGGGGCCUGCUGAGGUUAGAUGUGCUGAAUAAUAUCCAUUUUCAUAUCAGAAAAAACACUGCAUUAAACAUUGUCUUAGCUCACUGAGCUGAGGUCAACAGGUAAUAUAACCAACCUGUGAGGUGGCUCACCCCCGUAAGAUAAACACAUAAAUGAUCCCUGAUAGAACCGAUAAUUAAAGGCACAUCAGUGACAGGGAAUGCUAUUAAAACUAAACUAUAAACUGGUGACAUUAACUGCAAAAGAAGAUUUUUAUUGAUACAUUUCAGGUAGAAUUUAGUUUUCAAUAAGGAAAAUGCUGUAAGAAACCUGAAUUUGUUGCAACAAAUUUAAAAUAAAAGCUUUUAUGCUAAUUAUUUUCUGUGAUAAUAUUUUUCAGAACUCAUCAUCUGUGACAGCUCAUGGCUCUCUUGACUGUAACCUCCCUGUGGCAGCUUCUCACAGACUCAAUCAACUCCUCUUCCCCUCCCCCCUCAAACACACACACACAGACACACACACACAGAGACCCCCUUCCAAAAACCCAUCAAAGAGUAAUACAAUGGCUCCAUCUGUAGGAUAAAGUAGAGAGUCGCAACAGGAAGUUACCCCAAAAUCUGAGGUUUCAAACAGGAAGUUGGGUUUCCGAACUUUGACGGGCCAGAACCGGCACACGCUUCGACCCAAACUCACAAUUUUCGGAGCCAGUCUUCCAAAAAUUGUCAAGGAGGGGCUGACAACAUUUGAAGUGAAUCUGGUCACCCGUCUAGAAACUGGACAUCACACUAUAAAAUAUGUCAUUUCCUGCUAUAAAUAGGUGGCGCUACAACAAUUGUAUGAAUAUUGACAUAUGGAUGUGUGCAGAUAGGUACCAUUAACAAUCCUGUAAAGUUUGAUGCAGUUUGGACAAAGUAUGGCCGAAAUAUAGCAAAAAUAAAGCAACUUCCUGUUUCGUGGCGAGUAAUCGAACUUUGAGGGGCCAUAACUUCCACGCCCUUCAACAAAAACUCAAAAUCUGCCGCAAUUUAACAUCGUCUAUGUCUUAAGAACAUACUAUUAAGUUUUGAAGUCAAUGGGAUAAUGCGUCUAGGACUAGUUCGCGUUCAAGCGACCCCUGGAAAUGGCCAAAAACACACAAUUUUUUCACCUUCCGGUCAAAAUAAAAAUACUUUCUGUUGGGUUUAGAAUAUGGCUCCAAGAGACUUUUUGGUGCGUCAUGGGAUGUUACAUAUGUGUGCAGAUUUUCAGAUUUUUAGGCGCAACGGGCUUGAGGGGCUGUUCCGUUUAAAAAUGUAGGUGGCGCUACCGAGGGCAUUUUACCACGCCCAUGCUCAAGACCCCUAAAUUAUUAAAUUUUUCGCCGUGCCUGACGCGUCUGCAAAUUUUGGUAAGUUUUCACGCAUGUUAAGGCCCUCAAAAAGCCGAUCUAAGAGGCGGAAAAAGAAGAAAAAAAAUAAUAAUAAUAAUAAUUAAAGCUGCGAGCAGCGUUGAACGGGCCCUCGCACCUGGCGCCCGUCGGGGGAGCGGCGACCGCGGGACCCCGGCAACCGCGGGGUCAACGCAGGUCGCAGGGCACACGCUGGCGUAACAGUUCACACUUCCCAGAUGUAAAAAUUUUAAAUAAAAGCUUUUACGCUAAUUAUUUUCUGUGAUAAUAUUUUUCAGAGCUCAUCAUCUGUGACAGCUCAUGGCUCUCCUGACUGUAACCUCUCUGUGGCAGCUUCUCACAGACUCAAUCAACUCCUCUUCCCCUCCCCCCUCAAACACAAACACAAACACACCCACACAAACACACACAAACACAGAGAGAGAUACCCCCUCCCAAAAGGAGAUAAAACUCAGUUUUAACUUGAGUUUACAAGCUUUGAGCUUUGAGCAAAAGCAUUUUUUUAAAGUUCUGUUAUUGGGUGCAUAUAUAAAUCAUUUAUGCUUAAACAAGGCUUAUAAUGAAGUUAUUUGAACAGUGAAUAUCUCAUCUGCCUAAAGUCAGGGCGAAGCCACUAACCAGCUGUGGGGAUGGGUAUCAUUAGGAUUUUAUCUUUAUCCAUACAGACCCCUAUCAGUCCAGCUCAGACUGUUACUGGUUUAAGAGAGUGAAGUUUAUAGCAAUUUGUAAAAUUUGGAGAUUAGUGACAAACUAACCAGUUAGACUACAUACAGACAAGCUUUCAUUUUAGCUGUUAGUAACAGUUUGCCAUGAGCUUAACCAGCGUGCUGUGCUUCGUGUUAAACAUGUCAUGAGACUGUGGACAACGCUGAAAAUAUUACUUUACUAACUACUGGCCGAACAGGCGCUUUGACAAAGAAAAGGUAAAGGCCAGCAGCUUUUACUUUUCAAUGCACUUGUCGUCAACUUGAGUGGCUUAUAUUCAGCUGGUUCACCUCGACGUCGGUGGAUGUAGACGUGCACUUUUCCUGUUGCCGUACACUGAGUAACACGAAAAUAUCAACUGACCCCUUGUGAAAUUUCCUAACUGAUCAAAACCAAACUGUAAAGACAGCAUUAAUCCACGCUCAGCUUUGGUCAAGGGGAGACAUAUGGUAAGAUUACAUGAAUUCAUGUAAUCUUCUUUGAGGCUACAAUUUCAGACUUAACUAAGUCAUUCAUUAGUGUCUUGGCAGCGUUUAUGGGGUCUUUAGACAGGUCUCUCACUGGUUUUCUUUCCAGGGUCAUUGAAAUCUUUGGCUUCCUACCUCUGCCAGGCUUGUUCUGCACAGUGUGGCUCUCCUUGAAUUUCUCGGUGACGCUUCUCAUUUGAGUUCUUGACGCUUGGAAAUGCUGUGAUAACUUUGUAUAUCCUUCUCCUGCUUCCUGAGCAUCGACAAUUCUUCAAGUCUACAGUGAUUUCCUUAGUUUUUGGCAUGAUGCUUUCUCAAGUGACAGCUCAAAUCUUAACUGAAGUUUUUAUACCGCGUGUAAAGCAGCUCUUGGCUCUCCUGACUGUAACCUCUCUGUGGCAGCUUCUCACAGACUCAAUCAACUCCUCUUCCCCUCCCCCUUCAAACACAAACACAAACACACACACACACACACACACACAGAGACCCCCCUCCAAAAACCCAUCAAAGAGUAAUACAAUGGCUCCAUCUAUAGGAUAAAGUAGAGAGUCGCAACAGGAAGUUACCCCAAAAUCUGAGGUUUCAAACAGGAAGUUGGGUUUCCGAACUUUGACGGGCCAGAACCGGCACACGCUUCGACCAAAACUCACAAUUUUCUGAGCCAGUCUUCCAAAAAUCGUCAAGGAGGGGCUGACAACAUUUGAAGUGAAUCUGGUCACCCGUCUAGAAACUGGACAUCACACUAUAAAAUAUGUCAUUUCCUGCUAUAAAUAGGUGGUGCUACAACAAUUGUAUGAAUAUUGACAUAUGGAUGUGUGCAGAUAGGUACCAUUAACAAUCCUGUAAAGUUUGAUGCAGUUUGGACAAAGUAUGGCCGAAAUAUAGCAAAUAUAAAGCAACUUCCUGUUUCGUGGCGAGUAAUCGAACUUUGAGGGGCCAUAACUUCCACGCCCUUCAAUGAAAAGUCCGAAACUUUUGCAAUUUAACUUCGUCUAUGUCUUAAGAACAAAUUAUCAAAUUUUGAAGUCAAUCGGAUAAUGCGUCUAGGACUAGUUCGCGUUCAAGCGACCCCUGGAAAUGGCCAAAAACACACAAUUUUUUCACCUUCCGGUCAAAAUAAAAAUACUUUCUGUUGGGUUUAGAAUAUGGCUCCAAGAGACUUUUUGGUGCGUCAUGGGAUGUUACAUAUGUGUGCAGAUUUUCAGAUUUUUAGGCGCAACGGGCUUGAGGGGCUGUUCCGUUAAAAAUGUAGGUGGCGCUACCGAGGCCAUUUUGCCACACCCAUGCUCAAGACCCCUAAAUUCUUAAAUUUUUCGCCGUGCCUGACGCGUCUGCAAAUUUUCAGGAGUUUUGACGCAUGUUAAGGCCCUCAAAAAGGCGAUCAAAGAGGCGGAAAAAGAAGAAAAAAAAUAAUAAUAAUAAUAAUAAUAAUAAACCGAACGAAAACAAGAGGGUCCUUGCAACUCGUUGCAUGGCCCCGUUGGGCCCACGCAACUCGUUGCUCGGGCCCUAAUUAAAGCUGCGAGCAGCGUUGAACGGGCCCUCGCACCCGGCGCCCGUCGGGGGAGCAGCGACCGCGGGACCCCGGCAACCGCGGGGUCAACGCAGGUCGCAGGGCACACGCUGGCGUAACAGUUCACACUUCCCAGAUGUAAAAAUUUUAAAUAAAAGCUUUUAUGCUAAUUAUUUUCUGUGAUAAUAUUUUUCAGAGCUCAUCAUCUGUGACAGCUCUUGGCUCUCCUGACUGUAACCUCUCUGUGGCAGCUUCUCACAGACUCAAUCAACUCCUCUUCCCCUCCCCCCUCAAACACAAACACACACACACACACACACACAGAUACCCCCUCCCAAAAGGAGAUAAAACUCAGUUUUAACUUGAGUUUACAAGCUUUGAGCUUUGAGCAAAAGCAUUUUUUUUAAGUUCUGUUACUGGGUGCAUAUAUAAAUCAUUUGUGCUUAAACAAGGCUUAUAAUGAAGUUAUUUGAACAGUGAAUAUCUCAUCUGCCUAAAGUCAGGGCGAAGCCACUAACCAGCUGUAGGGAUGGGUAUCAUUAGGAUUUUAUCUUUAUCCAUACAGACCCCUAUCAGUCCAGCUCAGACUGUUACUGGUUUAAGAGAGUGAAGUUUAUAGCAAUUUGCAAAAUUUGGAGAUUAGUGACAAACUAACCAGUUAGACUACAUACAGACAAGCUUUCAUUUUAGCUGUUAGUAACAGUUUGCCAUGAGCUUAACCAGCGUGCUGUGCUUCGUGUUAAACAUGUCAUGAGACUGUGGACAACGUUUGAGCCAGCUUUGACAUCUGCAGAUAUGAGUUUCUGAAGAGGGGCCUGCUGAGGUUAGAUGUGCUGAAUAAUAUCCAUUUUCAUAUCAGAAAAAACACUGCAUUAAACAUUGUCUUAGCUCACUGAGCUGAGGUCAACAGGUAAUAUAACCAACCUGUGAGGUGGCUCACCCCCGUAAGAUAAACACAUAAAUGAUCCCUGAUAGAACCGAUAAUUAAAGGCACAUCAGUGACAGGGAAUGCUAUUAAAACUAAACUAUAAACUGGUGACAUUAACUGCAAAAGAAGAUUUUUAUUGAUACAUUUCAGGUAGAAUUUAGUUUUCAAUAAGGGAAACAGUGUAAGAAACCUGAAUUUGUUGCAACAAAUUUAAAAUAAAAGCUUUUAUGCUAAUUAUUUUCUGUGAUAAUAUUUUUCAGAGCUCAUCAUCUGUGACAGCUCUUGGCUCUCUUGACUGUAACCUCCCUGUGGCAGCUUCUCACAGACUCAAUCAACUCCUCUUCCCCUCCCCCCUCAGACACACACACACACACACACACACACACACACACACACACACACAGAGACCCCCUUCCAAAAACCCAUCAAAGAGUAAUACAAUGGCUCCAUCUAUAGGAUAAAGUCGAGAGUCGCAACAGGAAGUUACCCCAAAAUCUGAGGUUUCAAACAGGAAGUUGGGUUUCCGAACUUUGACGGGCCAGAACCGGCACACGCUUCGACCAAAACUCACAAUUUUCGGAGGACUUCUUCCAAAAAUUGUCAAGGAGGGGCUGACAACAUUUGAAGUCAAUCUGGUCACCCGUCUAGAAACUGGACAUCACACUAUAAAAUAUGUCAUUUCCUGCUAUAAAUAGGUGGUGCUACAACAAUUGUAUGAAUAUUGACAUAUGGAUGUGUGCAGAUAGGUACCAUUAACAAUCCUGUAAAGUUUGAUGCAGUUUGGACAAAGUAUGGCCGAAAUAUAGCAAAUAUAAAGCAACUUCCUGUUUUGUGGCGAGUGAUCGAACUUUGAGGGGCCAUAACUUCCACGCCCUUCAAUGAAAAGUCAGAAACUUUUGCAAUUUAACUUCGUCUAUGUCUUAAGAACAAAUUAUCAAAUUUUGAAGUCAAUCGGAUAAUGCGUCUAGGACUAGUUCGCGUUCAAGCGACCCCUGGAAAUGGCCAAAAGCACACAAUUUUUUCACCUUCCGGUCAAAAUAAAAAUACUUUCUGUUGGGUUUAGAAUAUGGCUCCAAGAGACUUUUUGGUGCGUCAUGGGAUGUUACAUAUGUGUGCAGAUUUUCAGAUUUUUAGGCGCAACGGGCUUGAGGGGCUGUUCCGUUAAAAAUGUAGGUGGCGCUACCGAGGCCAUUUUGCCACACCCAUGCUCAAGACCCCUAAAUUCUUAAAUUUUUCGCCGUGCCUGACGCGUCUGCAAAUUUUCAGGAGUUUUGACGCAUGUUAAGGCCUUCAAAAAGGCAAUCAAAGAGGCGGAAAAAGAAGAAAAAAAAUAAUAAUAAUAAUAAUUAAAGCUGCGAGCAGCGUUGAACGGGCCCUCGCACCCGGCGCCCGUCGGGGGAGCGGCGACCGCGGGACUCCGGCAACCGCGGGGUCAACGCAGGUCGCAGGGCACACGCUGGCGUAACAGUUCACACUUCCCAGAUGUAAAAAUUUAAAAUAAAAGCUUUUACGCUAAUUAUUUUCUGUGAUAAUAUUUUUCAGAGCUCAUCAUCUGUGACAGCUCUUGGCUCUCCUGACUGUAACCUCUCUGUGGCAGCUUCUCACAGACUCAAUCAACUCCUCUUCCCCUCCCCCCUCAAACACAAACACAAACACACACACACACACACACACACAAACACAGAGAGAGAUACCCCCUCCCAAAAGGAGAUAAAACUCAGUUUUAACUUGAGUUUAAAAGCUUUGAGCUUUGAGCAAAAGCAUUUUUUUUAAGUUCUGUUAUUGGGUGCAUAUAUAAAUCAUUUAUGCUUAAACAAGGCUUAUAAUGAAGUUAUUUGAACAGUGAAUAUCUCAGCUGCCUAAAGUCAGGGCGAAGCCACUAACCAGCUGUAGGGAUGGGUAUCAUUCGGAUUUUAUCUUUAUCCAUACAGACCCCUAUCAGUCCAGCUCAGACUGUUACUGGUUUAAGAGAGUGAAGUUUAUAGCAAUUUGCAAAAUUUGGAGAUUAGUGACAAACUAACCAGUUAGACUACAUACAGACAAGCUUUCAUUUUAGCUGUUAGUAACAGUUUGCCAUGAGCUUAACCAGCGUGCUGUGCUUCCUGUUAAACAUGUCAUGAGACUGUGGACAACGCUGAAAAUAUUACUUUACUAACUACUGGCUGAACAGGCGCUUUGACAAAGAAAAGGUAAAGGCCAGCAGCUUUUACUUUUCAAUGCACUUGUCGUCAACUUGAGUGGCUUAUAUUCAGCUGGUUCACCUCGACGCCGGUGGAUGUAGACAUGCACUUUUCCUGUUGCCGUACACUGAGUAACACGAAAAAAUCAGCUGACCCCUUGUGAAAUUUCCUAACUGAUCAAAACCAAACUGUAAAGACAGCAUCAAUCCACGCUCAGCUUUGGUCAAGGGGAGACAUAUGGUAAGAUUACAUGAAUUCAAAAUAACCUACAAUUCCUUCAAAUUAAUUUGAAGCCAGUUUAAUUUUUUGAGCCAGCUUUGACAUCUGCAGAUAUGAGUUUCUGAAGAGGGGCCUGCUGAGGUUAGAUGUGCUGAAUAAUAUCCAUUUUCAUAUCAGAAAAAACACUGCAUUAAACAUUGUCUUAGCUCACUGAGCUGAGGUCAACAGGUAAUAUAACCAACCUGUGAGGUGGCUCACCCCCGUAAGAUAAACACAUAAAUGAUCCCUGAUAGAACCGAUAAUUAAAGGCACAUCAGUGACAGGGAAUGCUAUUAAAACUAAACUAUAAACUGGUGACAUUAACUGCAAAAGAAGAUUUUUAUUGAUACAUUUCAGGUAGAAUUUAGUUUUCAAUAAGGGAAACAGUGUAAGAAACCUGAAUUUGUUGCAACAAAUUUAAAAUAAAAGCUUUUAUGCUAAUUAUUUUCUGUGAUAAUAUUUUUCAGAGCUCAUCAUCUGUGACAGCUCUUGGCUCUCUUGACUGUAACCUCCCUGUGGCAGCUUCUCACAGACUCAAUCAACUCCUCUUCCCCUCCCCCCUCAGACACACACACACACACACACACACACACACACACAGAGACCCCCUUCCAAAAACCCAUCAAAGAGUAAUACAAUGGCUCCAUCUAUAGGAUAAAGUCGAGAGUCGCAACAGGAAGUUACCCCAAAAUCUGAGGUUUCAAACAGGAAGUUGGGUUUCCGAACUUUGACGGGCCAGAACCGGCACACGCUUCGACCCAAACUCACAAUUUUCGGAGGACUUCUUCCAAAAAUUGUCAAGGAGGGGCUGACAACAUUUGAAGUGAAUCUGGUCACCCGUCUAGAAACUGGACAUCACACUAUAAAAUAUGUCAUUUCCUGCUAUAAAUAGGUGGUGCUACAACAAUUGUAUGAAUAUUGACAUAUGGAUGUGUGCAGAUAGGUACCAUUAACAAUCCUGUAAAGUUUGAUGCAGUUUGGACAAAGUAUGGCCGAAAUAUAGCAAAAAUAAAGCAACUUCCUGUUUCGUGGCGAGUAAUCGAACUUUGAGGGGCCAUAACUUCCACGCCCUUCAACAAAAACUCAAAAUCUGCCGCAAUUUAACAUCGUCUAUGUCUUAAGAACAUACUAUUAAGUUUUGAAGUCAAUGGGAUAAUGCGUCUAGGACUAGUUCGCGUUCAAGCGACCCCUGGAAAUGGCCAAAAACACACAAUUUUUUCACCUUCCGGUCAAAAUAAAAAUACUUUCUGUUGGGUUUAGAAUAUGGCUCCAAGAGACUUUUUGGUGCGUCAUGGGAUGUUACAUAUGUGUGCAGAUUUUCAGAUUUUUAGGCGCAACGGGCUUGAGGGGCUGUUCCGUUUAAAAAUGUAGGUGGCGCUACCGAGGGCAUUUUACCACGCCCAUGCUCAAGACCCCUAAAUUAUUAAAUUUUUCGCCGUGCCUGACGCGUCUGCAAAUUUUGGUAAGUUUUCACGCAUGUUAAGGCCCUCAAAAAGCCGAUCUAAGAGGCGGAAAAAGAAGAAAAAAAAUAAUAAUAAUAAUAAUAAUAAUAAUAAUAAUAAUAAUAAACAGACCGAAAACAAGAGGGUCCUUGCAACUCGUUGCAUGGCCCCGUUGGGCCCACGCAACUCGUUGCUCGGGCCCUAAUAAUAAUAAUAAUAAUAAUAAUAAACAGACCGAAAACAAGAGGGUCCUUGCAACUCGUUGCAUGGCCCCGUUGGGCCCACGCAACUCGUUGCUCGGGCCCUAAUUAGAGUUUAGAUUUUGUUUGUAUAUGUGUUUUGUUUUGAUGUACACAGAUGGGUUGGGGAUUCUGGUUUCUCUAUAUAAUAAACUAUUAUGUAUUUUGAGUCGAUGUUUUUUUGUUGUUGUUUUUUUUUUUUGCAUUAUAAGCAAUGUGAUGUUUGAUGACUCAUGCAGAUACUUACAGAUAAAGCAGAAAAAUUAUGUCAUAGUUUAAACCAACAGUUGCUUAAAUAUAAACACAUGAUGAACUCAAAUAUUUCAUCAUAUGAACAAGAAAUAUGUGUUUUGGGGUUUGUUUUUUUUUUUUUUGUUUUUUUUUUUAAUUCAUGUUUCAACUAGCAUAGCUAAAGGCUAGCUGCAUUUUUUGUAAUACUUACUGAUUCACAUUGAUGGUGGGUAUUGGCUGACGUCAUCAUAAUUCAUGCUUCUGUAACUAUAUUUUCAUCUUAAAGAGAUGAAUAAAGGUCUGGGUUCAAUAAACAA